RNAcentral lists this transfer RNA (74 nucleotides) under bacterium. Its description in RNAcentral is "tRNA-Gly". It matches the Rfam family "tRNA". From Rfam's summary of the family: Transfer RNA (tRNA) molecules are approximately 80 nucleotides in length. The record is from RNAcentral.
GCGGGUGUAGUAUAGUGGCAGUACGUGACCUUCCCAAGGUUAAGGCGUGGGUUCGAUUCCCAUCAUCCGCUCCA